RNAcentral lists this ribosomal RNA (268 nucleotides) under Salmonella enterica subsp. enterica serovar Anatum. RNAcentral's name for it is "partial 23S ribosomal RNA". It matches the Rfam family "Bacterial large subunit ribosomal RNA", at positions 1300 to 1569 of the family's 2925-position model. Lineage: Bacteria; Pseudomonadati; Pseudomonadota; Gammaproteobacteria; Enterobacterales; Enterobacteriaceae. The record is from RNAcentral.
ACAUAAGUAACGAUAAAGCGGGUGAAAAGCCCGCUCGCCGGAAGACCAAGGGUUCCUGUCCAACGUUAAUCGGGGCAGGGUGAGUCGACCCCUAAGGCGAGGCCGAAAGGCGUAGUCGAUGGGAAACGGGUUAAUAUUCCCGUACUUGGUGUUACUGCGAAGGGGGGACGGAGAAGGCUAUGUUGGCCGGGCGACGGUUGUCCCGGUUUAAGCGUGUAGGUGUGUGUUCCAGGUAAAUCCGGUUCACUUUAACACUGAGGCGUGACGA